GAACUAUAUUUCUAUGUUACAUACAGUCGACUCUCGUUAUGUCGAAGUCAGCCGGACCAGAGAAAUAUUUCGAGAUACACGUAGUUCGACUCAAACGAACACCGGAAGUUCGACAAUCUAAGGGACACAACUCUUGCUUAGCUUGGUAAAGCUAAAAUAAAUCCGGGUGAAUAUGACAUAGGAUCGAUAUUCUAGUAUCAGAUCAAUGUAUUUGUAUGUCACAGUCUUUUAUUAUUAUAAUGACUGUUAUUUUUACUUAUUCAAUUGUUUCAAUUAAAAAAAAAUCCUAUAGCUUUUCCAAGAGAGUAAUUUCCAAUCGACAGUUUCGUAAUUCAGGUCGCUAAUAGCUGACAAAAUUGUUUAUUCUCGGAUACAAGAGAUUUAAGAAAAUUUUGAUUUCUAUUCAUUUUGUUUUAUCUCACUCUUUGUUUUCAAAAGAACAUAUAAUAAGAUUAAAGACGCCGUUUG
Molecule: long non-coding RNA, 468 nt
Filed under: Mytilus galloprovincialis (Mediterranean mussel)
Lineage: Eukaryota; Metazoa; Mollusca; Bivalvia; Mytilida; Mytilidae
Source: RNAcentral